GACGAACGCUGGCGGCGUGCUUAACACAUGCAAGUCGAACGGACAGGCCCUGCUCUUGUGGGUUGCUCGAUUGCCGAACGGGUGAGUAACACGUGAGUAACCUGCCCUUGUCUUUGGGAUAACUUCACGAAACUGGGGCUCAUACCGGGUAGGAUCUCCUGCUGCAUGGUGGUCGUUGGAAAGUUUCGGCGGUUGUGGAUGGACUCGCGGCUUCUCCGCUUGUUGGUGGGGUAGUGGCUUACCAAGGCUUUGACGGGUAGCCGGCCUGAGAGGGUGACCGGCCACAUUGGGACUGAGAGACGGCCCAGACUCCUACGGGAGGCAGCAGGGGGGAAUAUGGCACAAUGGGCGGAAGCCUGAGGCAGCAACGCCGCGUGCGGGAUGACGGCCUUCGGGUUGUAAACCGCUUUCGCCUGUGACGAAGCGUGAGUGACGGUAAUGGGUAAAGAAGCACCGGCUAACUACGUG
Molecule: ribosomal RNA, 468 nt
Filed under: uncultured bacterium
Lineage: Bacteria
Description: partial 16S ribosomal RNA
Rfam family: Bacterial small subunit ribosomal RNA
Source: RNAcentral